RNAcentral lists this ribosomal RNA (446 nucleotides) under uncultured bacterium. Its description in RNAcentral is "partial 16S ribosomal RNA". It matches the Rfam family "Bacterial small subunit ribosomal RNA", at positions 338 to 795 of the family's 1533-position model. The record is from RNAcentral.
CCUACGGGAGGCUGCAGUCGAGAAUCAUUCACAAUGGGGGAAACCCUGAUGGUGCGACGCCGCGUGGGGGAAUGAAGGUCUUCGGAUUGUAAACCCCUGUCAUGUGGGAGCAAAUUAAAAAGAUAGUACCACAAGAGGAAGAGCCGGCUAACUCUGUGCCAGCAGCCGCGGUACUACAGAGGUCUCAAGCGUUGUUCGGAAUCACUGGGCGUAAAGCGUGCGUAGGCUGUUUCGUAAGUCGUGUGUGAAAGGCGCGGGCUCAACCCGCGGACGGCACAUGAUACUGCGAGACUAGAGUAAUGGAGGGGGAACCGGAAUUCGCGGUGUAGCAGUGAAAUGCGUAGAUAUCGAGAGGAACACUCGUGGCGAAGGCGGGUUCCUGGACAUUAACUGACGCUGAGGCACGAAGGCCAGGGGAGCGAAAGGGAGUAGAUACCCUUGUAGUC